This 468-nucleotide ribosomal RNA is filed under the name uncultured bacterium. Its description in RNAcentral is "partial 16S ribosomal RNA". It matches the Rfam family "Bacterial small subunit ribosomal RNA", at positions 28 to 507 of the family's 1533-position model. The record is from RNAcentral.
GACGAACGCUGGCGGCGGGCUUAACACAUGCAAGUCGAACGGAAAGGCCCUGCUUUUGUGGGGUGCUCGAGUGGCGAACGGGUGAGUAACACGUGAGUAACCUGCCCUUGACUUUGGGAUAACUUCAGGAAACUGGGGCUAAUACCGGAUAGGAGCUCCUGCUGCAUGGUGGGGGUUGGAAAGUUUCGGCGGGUGGGGAUGGACUCGCGGCUUAUCAGCUUGUUGGUGGGGUAGUGGCUUACCAAGGCUGUGACGGGUAGCCGGCCUGGGAGGGUGACCGGGCUCCUGGGGACUGAGAGAGGGCCCAGACGCGUACGGGAGGCAGCAGGGGGGAACCUGGCACAGUGGGCCGGAGUCGGAUACGAACACGCCCGGGGCGGGAAGACGGCCUUUGGGUUGAAAACAGCUUCCGCUUGUGACGCCGCUUGAGUGACGGUAAUGGAUAAAGAAGCACCGGCUAACUUCGUG